CCUUGUUAUACCGCCUAUAUACCGCCGUCGUCAGCCUACCCUGUGAAGGACUAGAAGUAAGCAAGAUUGGUAAGACCCAAAACGUCAGGUCGAGGUGUAGUGUAUGAGAGGGGAAGAAAUGGGCUACAUUUCCUAAAUCAGGAAAUACGAACAAUGGACUGAAAUAAACAUUAGAAGGUGGAUUUAGCAGUAAGCAGAAAAAUAGAGUGUUCUGCUGAAGUAUGGCAAUAAAGCACGCACAUAUCGCCCGUCACUCUCCCCGAGCUUAACACAAAAACAUACCUAAAAAAUUACAUCUGCAAAGGGGAGGCAAGUCGUAACAUGGUAAGCGUACCGGAAGGUGCGCUUGGAAUAAU
RNAcentral lists this ribosomal RNA (356 nucleotides) under Premnas biaculeatus (spinecheek anemonefish). Its description in RNAcentral is "partial 12S ribosomal RNA". It matches the Rfam family "Bacterial small subunit ribosomal RNA", at positions 1025 to 1533 of the family's 1533-position model. The record is from RNAcentral. Lineage: Eukaryota; Metazoa; Chordata; Actinopteri; Pomacentridae.